Molecule: long non-coding RNA, 1076 nt
Organism: Capsella rubella
Lineage: Eukaryota; Viridiplantae; Streptophyta; Magnoliopsida; Brassicales; Brassicaceae
Exons: 6
Source: RefSeq, a predicted model, not a curated record
UUCUCUACCCACCUCACGAUUUAAACCACUCCAUUUCUCACAAACUCACCUAACGAUUUCGCCGCACAUUGCUGCACCGGCGUAGCUAUCCUUUUUUCACCGGCGGCGCUAUCCUUCUGUUCACCGGCGGAGCUAGCCUUCUGAAGAUCGAGAACAAUAUGGAGGAUCCGACUUAUCAACACAUAGACGCUCGUUCCAAAGCCAGGUUUGAUGGUACUGCUCCUGAACCCCCGUAAGGGAAUAAGAAGCGGUCAUAUACCUGGAAGCAAAUGCGUCCCUUUUCCUCAAAUGUUUGAUUCUUCUAAUACACUGUUACCAGCAGAAGAGCUAAAACAAAGAUUUGAACAAGCAGGUAAACUAUUACAUCAUCAUCUCCACUUCAAGAAUGAGGUUCACAAUCUUAGUUAAUAUACAGCAGUCGUACGAUUACAAGGCUUUUUGGUGCAUGUAUCUCACUGGACAAGCCUAUUAUGGCCUCGUGUGGGACUGGGGUAACAGCUUGCAUCCUAGCAAUGGGGCUUCACCGGGUGGGGAAAAUUGAUGUGCCUGUCUAUGAUGGACAAGUGAACUAGGAGAAGAGCCAAAUAUGAUUCACUGUUCCACACUUAGAUAAGAAGAGACGCACAAUAAGUGACUUGAAGACAAAAAUGUAUAUCGAGAAGGCAACAAGUGAGUUAGAGCUCCUCCAAUCGCAACGCCAAACCGAAGGAGAUGACACGGUUCAGUCUAACCGUCUUACACCUGAGGAGAUUAACUCUAUCAUGCGUAAAGUUGUUCCAAAGGUUAGAGAACGAUGUUAUGGCCUUCGUACUUGAUUGGAUGAAGGAUGCUCGUCUACCUCACGAACCGACCACCUACUCUGACAAUCCCUGAAGAUGACGACGAUGAGACCCAAUUGAUGAGACCCAAUUGAUGGUUUAUGGUUUGCAAGAGUAAUGAUAUCUGAUUAUUUUAAAAACUUGAACAUUUUUAGGAUUUUAGGUUGUUUGUUUGUAUGACAUUGAUAUUUAAGCUUAGCAACAUUUUGUUUGUAUUACAUUGACAUUUCUAUAUAUAAUUCUCUGUUAUUUUCAUCA